UCUCCAAAGGGAAGAAUUUUCU
RNAcentral lists this microRNA (22 nucleotides) under Homo sapiens (human). Its description in RNAcentral is "Hsa-Mir-430-P31a_5p* (star (passenger))". The record is from RNAcentral. Lineage: Eukaryota; Metazoa; Chordata; Mammalia; Primates; Hominidae.